UAAAGGUUUGGUCCUAGCCUUUCUAUUAGUUAUUAAUAGGAUUACACAUGCAAGCCUCCACAUACCGGUGAAAAUGCCCUCUAAAUCGUUAACCGACCUAAAGGAGCAGGCAUCAAGCACACAAAACGUAGCUCAUAACGCCUUGCUUAGCCACACCCCCACGGGAUACAGCAGUGAUAAAAAUUAAGCCAUGAAUGAAAAUUCGACUAAGCCAUAUUAAACCAGGGUUGGUAAAUUUCGUGCCAGCCACCGCGGUCAUACGAUUAACCCAAACUAAUAGAUAUACGGCGUAUAGCGUGUCACAGAAACAAUCCCAUGCUAAAGUUAAAUCUUAUCUAAGCCGUAAAAAGCUAUAGCUAAUACAAAAAUAUAAUACGAAAGUAACUUUAAUAAUUCCAAUUACACGACAGCUAAGACCCAAACUGGGAUUAGAUACCCCACUAUGCUCAGCCCUAAACCUAGAUAGUUAGCCAAACAAAACUAUCCGCCAGAGAACUACUAGCAAUAGCUUAAAACUCAAAGGACUUGGCGGUGCUUCAUAUCCCCCUAGAGGAGCCUGUUCUAUAACCGAUAAACCCCGAUAUACCUCACCACCCCUUGCUAAUUCAGUCUAUAUACCGCCAUCUUCAGCAAACCCUAAAAAGGAAGAACAGUAAGCACAAGCAUCUUAGCAUAAAAAAGUUAGGUCAAGGUGUAACCCAUGGGGUGGGAAGUAAUGGGCUACAUUUUCUACACUAGAAUAACUACCACGAAAGUCCUUAUGAAAUUAAGGACUAAAGGAGGAUUUAGUAGUAAACUGAGAAUAGAGUGCUCAGUUGAAUCGGGCCAUGAAGCACGCACACACCGCCCGUCACCCUCCUCAAGUGAAACAAACCCAAAGACAACAUAUUCAAACUUCAACAAACACAAGAGGAGACAAGUCGUAACAAGGUAAGCGUACUGGAAAGUGUGCUUGGAUAAAA
This 962-nucleotide non-coding RNA is filed under the name Fossa fossana (Malagasy civet). RNAcentral describes it as "12S ribosomal RNA". It matches the Rfam family "Bacterial small subunit ribosomal RNA". The record is from RNAcentral. Lineage: Eukaryota; Metazoa; Chordata; Mammalia; Carnivora; Eupleridae.